Molecule: ribosomal RNA, 1433 nt
Filed under: uncultured organism
Description: SSU rRNA
Rfam family: Bacterial small subunit ribosomal RNA
Source: RNAcentral
CAUGCAAGUCGAGGGGCAGCAUGGUCUUAGCUUGCUAAGGCCGAUGGCGACCGGCGCACGGGUGAGUAACGCGUAUCCAACCUGCCUUACACUCUUGGACAGCCUUCUGAAAGGGAGAUUAAUACAAGAUGUUAUCAUGAGUAAGCAUUUUCGCAUGAUUAAAGGUUUACCGGUGUAAGAUGGGGAUGCGUUCCAUUAGAUAGUAGGCGGGGUAACGGCCCACCUAGUCUUCGAUGGAUAGGGGUUCUGAGAGGAAGGUCCCCCACAUUGGAACUGAGACACGGUCCAAACUCCUACGGGAGGCAGCAGUGAGGAAUAUUGGUCAAUGGACGAGAGUCUGAACCAGCCAAGUAGCGUGAAGGAUGAAGGUUCUAUGGAUUGUAAACUUCUUUUAUACGGGAAUAAACGGAUCCACGUGUGGAUUUCUGCAUGUACCGUAUGAAUAAGGAUCGGCUAACUCCGUGCCAGCAGCCGCGGUAAUACGGAGGAUCCGAGCGUUAUCCGGAUUUAUUGGGUUUAAAGGGAGCGUAGAUGGGUUGUUAAGUCAGUUGUGAAAGUUUGCGGCUCAACCGUAAAAUUGCAAUUGAUACUGGCAGUCUUGAGUGCAGUAGAGGUGGGCGGAAUUCGUGGUGUAGCGGUGAAAUGCUUAGAUAUCACGAAGAACUCCGAUUGCGAAGGCAGCUCACUGGAGUGUAACUGACGCUGAUGCUCGAAAGUGUGGGUAUCAAACAGGAUUAGAUACCCUGGUAGUCCACACAGUAAACGAUGAAUACUCGCUGUUUGCGAUAUACAGUAAGCGGCCAAGCGAAAGCAUUAAGUAUUCCACCUGGGGAGUACGCCGGCAACGGUGAAACUCAAAGGAAUUGACGGGGGCCCGCACAAGCGGAGGAACAUGUGGUUUAAUUCGAUGAUACGCGAGGAACCUUACCCGGGCUUAAAUUGCAAAUGAAUUAUGGGGAAACCCAUACGCCGCAAGGCAUUUGUGAAGGUGCUGCAUGGUUGUCGUCAGCUCGUGCCGUGAGGUGUCGGCUUAAGUGCCAUAACGAGCGCAACCCUUAUCUUCAGUUACUAACAGGUCAUGCUGAGGACUCUGGAGAGACUGCCGUCGUAAGAUGUGAGGAAGGUGGGGAUGACGUCAAAUCAGCACGGCCCUUACGUCCGGGGCUACACACGUGUUACAAUGGGGGGUACAGAAGGCCGCUACCUGGUGACAGGAUGCCAAUCCCAAAAACCUCUCUCAGUUCGGAUCGAAGUCUGCAACCCGACUUCGUGAAGCUGGAUUCGCUAGUAAUCGCGCAUCAGCCAUGGCGCGGUGAAUACGUUCCCGGGCCUUGUACACACCGCCCGUCAAGCCAUGAAAGCCGGGGGUACCUGAAGUACGUAACCGCAAGGAGCGUCCUAGGGUAAAACUGGUAAUUGGGGCUAAGUCAUAA